This 419-nucleotide ribosomal RNA is filed under the name uncultured bacterium. RNAcentral's name for it is "bacterial SSU rRNA". It matches the Rfam family "Bacterial small subunit ribosomal RNA", at positions 11 to 438 of the family's 1533-position model. The record is from RNAcentral.
GUUUGAUCCUGGCUCAGAUUGAACGCUGGCGGCAUGCCUUACACAUGCAAGUCGAACGGUAACGCGGGGCAACCUGGCGACGAGUGGCGAACGGGUGAGUAAUAUAUCGGAACGUGCCCAGUAGUGGGGGAUAGCCCGGCGAAAGCCGGAUUAAUACCGCAUGAGACCUGAGGGUGAAAGCGGGGGAUCGCAAGACCUCGCGCUAUUGGAGCGGCCGAUAUCAGAUUAGGUAGUUGGUGGGGUAAAGGCCUACCAAGCCGACGAUCUGUAGCUGGUCUGAGAGGACGACCAGCCACACUGGGACUGAGACACGGCCCAGACUCCUACGGGAGGCAGCAGUGGGGAAUUUUGGACAAUGGGCGCAAGCCUGAUCCAGCCAUGCCGCGUGCGGGAAGAAGGCCUCGGUGUAACGACUUGUC